This is a non-coding RNA of Pelobates cultripes (western spadefoot toad), 303 nucleotides long. The record is from the annotation of a GenBank genome assembly. Lineage: Eukaryota; Metazoa; Chordata; Amphibia; Anura; Pelobatidae.
AAUAUUAGGACAUAUAAAAAAAGACAACUCUGUUCCGCAGAGUAGCUGUUGACAUUAUAGUUGCGCAGGAACUUUGUUGACUCUAGAGAACCUCGGGCAAAUCGCACAUCCCCGUACUGGCGACUUUGCAUGCAGAUGUCAUGCAUAUCAACUUUCAAUGCAAGAUUCUACGCCUACCAUGGUGACCACGGGUAACGGGGAAUCAGGGUUCCAUUCCGUACAGGGACCCUGAGAAAUGGCUACCACAUGCAAGGAAGGCAGCAGGCGCGCAAAUGACCCACUCCAGAUGCGGGAAGGUAGUGA